This 570-nucleotide ribosomal RNA is filed under the name uncultured bacterium. RNAcentral describes it as "bacterial SSU rRNA". It matches the Rfam family "Bacterial small subunit ribosomal RNA", at positions 41 to 601 of the family's 1533-position model. The record is from RNAcentral.
GGCAUGCUUAAACAUGCAAGUCGAACGGUAACAGGCGGGAGCUUGCUCCUGCGCUGACGAGUGGCGGACGGGUGAGUAAUGCUUAGGAAUCUGCCCAGUAGCGGGGGACAACCCGGAGAAAUCCGGGCUAAUACCGCAUACGCCCUACGGGGGAAAGCAGGGGAUCUUCGGACCUUGCACUAUUGGAUGAGCCUAAGUCGGAUUAGCUUGUUGGUAGGGUAACGGCCUACCAAGGCGACGAUCCGUAGCUGGUCUGAGAGGAUGAUCAGCCACACUGGGACUGAGACACGGCCCAGACUCCUACGGGAGGCAGCAGUGGGGAAUAUUGGACAAUGGGGGCAACCCUGAUCCAGCAAUGCCGCGUGUGUGAAGAAGGCCUGCGGGUUGUAAAGCACUUUCAGUAGGGAAGAAAACUUGGGGGCUAAUAUCUCUCAAGCUUGACGUUACCUACAGAAGAAGCACCGGCUAACUCCGUGCCAGCAGCCGCGGUAAUACGGAGGGUGCGAGCGUUAAUCGGAAUUACUGGGCGUAAAGCGCGCGUAGGUGGCUUGGUAAGUCGGUUGUGAAAGC